UUUUUUUUUAUGUAUGUUACAUCAGAACUUUUGACCGGGUAGACCGAUUUCGACAAAUUUUGUUUUAAUCGAAAGGUGGUGUGUGUCAAUUGGUCCCAUUUAAAUUUAUUUGGGAUCUAACAACUACUUUUCGAGUUAUAUCUAAUAAUGCGUUUUUACUUGACUUUUUUUGUCGACCUACGUUGUAUUAUACCGCAUAACUUUCUACUGGAUAUACCGAUUUUGAUAAUUCUUUUUUUGUUGGAAAGGGGAUAUUCCUAGUUUGGUACCGUGAUAAGGAAA
This 282-nucleotide unclassified non-coding RNA is filed under the name Melitaea cinxia (Glanville fritillary). Its description in RNAcentral is "misc RNA ENSMCXG00005006364.1". Lineage: Eukaryota; Metazoa; Arthropoda; Insecta; Lepidoptera; Nymphalidae. The record is from RNAcentral.